Long non-coding RNA from Aphis gossypii (cotton aphid), 313 nucleotides. RefSeq lists it as uncharacterized. The record is from RefSeq and is a predicted model, not a curated record. NCBI's taxonomy places the organism in Eukaryota, Metazoa, Arthropoda, Insecta, Hemiptera, Aphididae. The transcript has 3 exons.
CAAUGUACAGAAUUGCAAAGCAAAUAAGUCAUUCGCAUCACUCGGAACUUUUUACUGGUCAGCAAUAUCAAAGAGAUGAAGAAUGGCUAAAUAUUGUGGAAACAUAUUAUAACCUACAUCAAAUUAAGGGCCUAGAGAGGUCGAGGAAUUGAAGUAUAGCUUUGAAAACUUAAGUAAAGCUACUAAAUUGAAAACAGUAUGGAUAAGUGAAUAAUACAAAUUUUAAAUAAGUACUCACAGACCUUUUGAUGACGUCGAUCGCUGGCCAGUGAUGACGGCCUGUGGCUAAAUGAUCCUGAUAAUAAUUAAAUAA